Molecule: unclassified non-coding RNA, 200 nt
Filed under: soil metagenome
Description: partial contains internal transcribed spacer 2 and large subunit ribosomal RNA
Source: RNAcentral
CGUCAUUUAACCCUUCAAGCUUCUGCUUGGUGUUGGGCGUUUGUUCCGCCUCCGCGCGUGGACUCGCCUCAAAUUCAUUGGCAGCCGGUAAGUUGGCUUCGUGCGCAGCACAUUGCGUCGCGUCUCCAGCCUGCCCCCUUCCAACAAGCUUCUAUUAUCACUUUGACCUCGGAUCAGGUAGGGAUACCCGCUGAACUUAA